This is a non-coding RNA of Oryctolagus cuniculus (rabbit), 2275 nucleotides long. Lineage: Eukaryota; Metazoa; Chordata; Mammalia; Lagomorpha; Leporidae. The record is from RefSeq and is a predicted model, not a curated record.
ACCUCCGGUCCGGGGGAGGCUAUCGCAUUGGUGGCGGGAGGGGGCGUUUUGGUCACCGCUCCCCAUUCCCUACAUCCCAAUGCUCAGGGCUGGUUACCCUAGCAGAGAGGUCAUCAGCAGGCCCACAGUGUGGACCGGGUGAAGACGGCGUUGUCUCCUUUCCAUGUAAAACAUAAAGCACCUGUAGCUCGGGCUGUAGAUCCCUGUGGUUGUCACUGGCACCGUUGGCGUUUUCUGACGUCAACAAACCAGAACCCAGAGCCCAUCGGCACCCAGGUUUCUCCCUGGUUUAGGUUUCCUCCCCUCAGCAACGUGCGCUGUGCCCUAUGCCCUCUGCAGCUCUGCUUAAAUAGCUCUAGUUAUCUGGUUCCCUAAGAUUUCUUCUAUGAAAAAUGAGAUGACUCGAACUAGACAGAGGCAGCCCCCUAUGGGAGGGUACGGAUGGCUUGAUAGUGAUCCAAAUCUGUGUCAAGAAUGUUGCUGUACUCCAAGUGACAACAGGAUAUAGGAUUACUCACCUGUACACAGUGGGAAAAACAAGUCUUUGAGGAUCUGAGCCAGAAGUUUUUCAUGCUGUUCCUUGACUCCAAAUCCAAGAUUGUUCUCUUCGAUGUGGUUGCCAGCAUACUGAUAGAAAAAAGCCUGGAUACACCAGAUCAAUACAUUUAAAAAAAAUACAGAGAAGUUGACCAAGGCCAUGACAUACACACAAGGCCAAACUAGACAAAGAAAUCACCAUUCCUAAUAACAAUGUGGGGAGUGAGGUGAGUGGUAUACACCCAAGAACAAGACAUGACAGGCUAUAAAGCUUACAAGGCCAUUUUCAAGUUAUUUGAUUUCUUCUGCAUUUGAAUUGAAUUUGAAAAAAGUCAGACACCUGGAGUUGUAAAAUGUCAGAAGAGGAACCAAACAUCCAAGCUAGGAUUAUUGGAGGCAAGUUCAUUUUCACUGGACUGAGAAAAUUAUACUUGGAACACCCUCAAAACACUUUGACAAAUAAAGUAGUAUAAUAAACAUAGUAACAGGCAUUUAAUCAUUUUGCCUUCAUGUUUAAUGGAUUGUUGGCUAAUGUCUUCCAAACCUUUACCUAUAAAGCAUCUGUCAUUUUCAAAAAAUUAUUUGCUUUGCUAAAUGUGAUUAGGGAUUUUGAGCUGGGACCCCCUCCCUAACAUCCAGCCCAAUUUUAAUUUGGUAACAAAGCGAUGGCUCCCCAAAUAACUUGCUCUUAGCAGUCACAUCUGCUCACCUAAUUGACAACAUAGGAGGGAAUUGUUACAAUUUGUUUUCUUUGGACUACAUCAGAAAUUGAUAAAACAUUCAUAACUGUAUGAUUCAGGGACAGAAACCACUUGUACAUAAAGCAAUACCAUUUAUCCAUGUAACACUUUAUAAUUUCAUGUAACAGAAUGCGUUUUUCCGUGGUACUUAAAAUAUGCUAAUUCUGGUAAAUCUGAAACACAUUCCUUCUGGCACUGUCUAAGCAGAUCUGGGAAAUUAAAUCUAUACAAUAGGAGAACCUCAAUUUGCAUUCAUUUACAAUAGGCAGGGACCCAAGUACUUGAACCUGCUGCCUCCCAGUGUACGCAAAGAUAGUAAGCUGGAAUUAGAAGUAGAACUCAGACUUAAAUCCAGGCAUUCUGAUACGGGAUGCCAACAUCUUAAGCCAUAGCUUAACCACUGCUUAACCUAUCCCUGCUAGUAUCAUAUAUUUUAUAUUUUAAAAAGAAAAUAAAAUAAUUAUAAUACAGCUUGAGUAAUGUCAGCCAUAGAACUGAAAACUGUAUGUCUCUGAAUUAUAAUGAAAGAAAUCAAGGAAAUUAUAUCUGUAAAGUCUGAUUUUAUCCUGGGAAAAUUUUUUGAUAUUUGUUUAGAAAUUGUUUUGUACUAAGUACUCUCUUAUUCUAAUUAACCCUCAUGAUAAUCUAUGUAAUAUUAUUAAUGUCACCAUAGAAUGCUUUAGAUGACAAAUUAGGAUAUGGUAUUAAAUCCAGACCUAUUUCAUGAAAGGAGUUAUGAAGAAUUGGAUGAUUUGAUAAAAAUGCACAGAAUCUUACUUCAGUGACAGUAGACAGGAAGGUCUCCCUGGAAAGGAAUUUUGAGUUUAAAACUGAAUGACAAAAAUGAAGUUAAUGACACAAAGAUCACAGAAAAGAAGAAACAGCCCAAACCAAAGCCCUGAAUGGAAAACAGAUUUUUUCAUAUCCAGGGACAAAAGAAGCCAGGAUGGUAUGUUGUAGGCUGGGGGUUAGGGGGAGGAGCUGGAGGAAGGAUGUGU